CUAAGGAUGAGAGUUGGGAGGGAGACACUGUGGCCCACAAGUGCCCAGGCCCAGGAAGCUUCCUCCACUCCACCAUCAGCCUUUGCCAGGCCUACAGACACCAGACCUGUUUUUCCAAGGGCUUUGAAAGAGUCAGAAAACAAAAGAGCAAGACGAGAUACAAGAAUGAAGUACAGGGUCAUGAAUAUGAUGAAGAAAUGGUGGUCUCAUUUAAAAAAAAAAACUGCCCUUAUUAACUCAGCAGUAUACUCUGAAGAUUAGGUGCCUCUUCUCUUAAUUACACCCAGAGAGCGCAGAAAAGUGGACGCCAGCGAUAUUUAUUUUCUGCUCUGAGCCAGGCACAGGUAACCCACCAGGGGCGUCUUUCUUAAUGAGGGAAGAAAAAUGUCAGAACAGCGAUCGGCCACGGUGCACCCGAUGGACUUAGAAAAUCAGCAAAAAUAACAUGAGAAGUGGUUUUGCUUGAA
Molecule: long non-coding RNA, 467 nt
Organism: Ochotona princeps (American pika)
Lineage: Eukaryota; Metazoa; Chordata; Mammalia; Lagomorpha; Ochotonidae
Exons: 3
Source: RefSeq, a predicted model, not a curated record